Molecule: ribosomal RNA, 481 nt
Filed under: uncultured Glomus
Lineage: Eukaryota; Fungi; Glomeromycota; Glomeromycetes; Glomerales; Glomeraceae
Description: SSU rRNA
Rfam family: Eukaryotic small subunit ribosomal RNA
Source: RNAcentral
AGCAGCCGCGGUAAUUCCAGCUCCAAUAGCGUAUAUUAAAGUUGUUGCAGUUAAAAAGCUCGUAGUUGAAUUUCGGGGUUAGUAGGUUGGUCAUGCCUCUGGUAUGUACUGGUCUCACUGAUUCCUCCUUCCUGAUGAGCCGUAAUGCCAUUAAUUUGGUGUUGCGGGGAAUUUGGACUGUUACUUUGAAAAAAUUAGAGUGUUUAAAGCAAGCUAACGCUUGAAUACAUUAGCAUGGAAUAAUGAAAUAGGACGUUCGAUCCUAUUUUGUUGGUUUCUAGGAUUGACGUAAUGAUUAAUAGGGAUAGUUGGGGGCAUUAGUAUUCAAUUGUCAGAGGUGAAAUUCUUGGAUUUAUUGAAGACUAACUACUGCGAAAGCAUUUGCCAAGGAUGUUUUCAUUAAUCAAGAACGAAAGUUAGGGGAUCGAAGACGAUCAGAUACCGUCGUAGUCUUAACCAUAAACUAUGCCGACUAGGGAUC